UACGUAGGGGGCAAGCGUUGUCCGGAAUUACUGGGCGUAAAGGGCUCGUAGGUGGCCAACUAAGUCAGACGUGAAAUCCCUCGGCCUAACCGGGGAACUGCGUCUGAUACUGGAUGGCUUGAGUUCGGGAGAGGGAUGCGGAAUUCCAGGUGUAGCGGUGAAAUGCGUAGAUAUCUGGAGGAACACCGGUGGCGAAGGCGGCAUCCUGGACCGACACUGACACUGAGGAGCGAAAGCCAGGGGAGCAAACGGG
This 253-nucleotide ribosomal RNA is filed under the name uncultured bacterium. Its description in RNAcentral is "partial 16S ribosomal RNA". It matches the Rfam family "Bacterial small subunit ribosomal RNA", at positions 524 to 776 of the family's 1533-position model. The record is from RNAcentral.